RNAcentral lists this ribosomal RNA (305 nucleotides) under uncultured bacterium. RNAcentral's name for it is "bacterial SSU rRNA". It matches the Rfam family "Bacterial small subunit ribosomal RNA", at positions 338 to 660 of the family's 1533-position model. The record is from RNAcentral.
CCUACGGGGGGCAGCAGUGGGGAAUAUUGCACAAUGGGGGAAACCCUGAUGCAGCGACGCCGCGUGAGCGAAGAAGUAUUUCGGUAUGUAAAGCUCUAUCAGCAGGGAAGAAAAUGACGGUACCUGACUAAGAAGCCCCGGCUAACUACGUGCCAGCAGCCGCGGUAAUACGUAGGGGGCAAGCGUUAUCCGGAUUUACUGGGUGUAAAGGGAGCGUAGACGGCUUUGCAAGUCUGAAGUGAAAGCCCAGGGCUCAACCUUGGGACUGCUUUGGAAACUGUAGAGCUUGAGUACCGGAGGGGUAA